UACGUAGGGGGCAAGCGUUGUCCGGAUUUAUUGGGCGUAAAGAGCGUGUAGGCGGCCAGGUAGGUCCGUUGUGAAAACUCGAGGCUCAACCUCGAGACGUCGAUGGAAACCAUCUGGCUAGAGUCCGGAAGAGGAGAGUGGAAUUCCUGGUGUAGCGGUGAAAUGCGCAGAUAUCAGGAAGAACACCCGUGGCGAAGGCGGCUCUCUGGGACGGUACUGACGCUGAGGCGCGAAAGCGUGGGGAGCGAACAGG
This 253-nucleotide ribosomal RNA is filed under the name uncultured bacterium. Its description in RNAcentral is "partial 16S ribosomal RNA". It matches the Rfam family "Bacterial small subunit ribosomal RNA", at positions 524 to 776 of the family's 1533-position model. The record is from RNAcentral.